ACGGGAGGCAGCAGUGGGGAAUAUUGCACAAUGGAGGAAACUCUGAUGCAGCGACGCCGCGUGAGUGAAGAAGUAAUUCGUUAUGUAAAGCUCUAUCAGCAGGGAAGAUAGUGACGGUACCUGACUAAGAAGCUCCGGCUAAAUACGUGCCAGCAGCCGCGGUAAUACGUAUGGAGCAAGCGUUAUCCGGAUUUACUGGGUGUAAAGGGAGUGUAGGUGGCCAUGCAAGUCAGAAGUGAAAAUCCGGGGCUCAACCCCGGAACUGCUUUUGAAACUGUAAGGCUAGAGUGCAGGAGGGGUGAGUGGAAUUCCUAGUGUAGCGGUGAAAUGCGUAGAUAUUAGGAGGAACACCAGUGGCGAAGGCGGCUCACUGGACUGUAACUGACACUGAGGCUCGAAAGCGUGGGGAGCAAACAGGAUUAGAUACCCUGGUA
RNAcentral lists this ribosomal RNA (434 nucleotides) under uncultured Lachnospiraceae bacterium. Its description in RNAcentral is "bacterial SSU rRNA". It matches the Rfam family "Bacterial small subunit ribosomal RNA", at positions 341 to 792 of the family's 1533-position model. The record is from RNAcentral. Lineage: Bacteria; Bacillati; Bacillota; Clostridia; Lachnospirales; Lachnospiraceae.